AAGUUGUUGCGGUUAAAAGCUCGUAGUUCGAGCUCAGUUCCGGACUGGCCGGGGAGGUCACCGCCCGGUGCUUCCCCGUCAGGCUCCGAACAGCCUUCGUGAGCGGAGGCCAAGCCGGUUCUGCCGGGGUGCUCUUUACCGAGUGUCCCGCGCGGCCGGCCAGUUCACCUUGAAUAAAUGAGAGUGCUCAAAGCAGGCUACUCUCGAAUACAAUGCCCGAAUGUUACCUGCAUGGAAUGAUGGAAGAUGAUCUCGGUUCCAUUUUAUUGGUGGUGGGAGCCCGAGGUAAUGAUAAACAGGGACUGUCGGGGGCAUCCGUACUACGACGCGAGAGGUGAAAUUCAGUGACCGUCGUAGGACGAACAACAGCGAAAGCAUUUGCCAAGAAUGUCUUCGUUGAUCAAGAACGAAAGUUAGAGGAUCGAAGGCGAUCAGAUACCGCCCUAGUUCUAACCCUAAACGAUGCUGACUAGCAAUUCGCCGUCGUUAUUCCCAUGACGUGGCGAGACGCCCCCGGGAAACCUCAAGUCUUUGAGUUCCGGGGGUAGUAUGGUUGCAAAACUGAAACUUAAAGGAAUUGACGGAAGGGCACCACCAGGAGUGGAGCCUGCGGCUUAAUUUGACUCAACACGGGAAACCUCACCAGGCCCGGACACCAGAAGGAUUGACAGAUUAAGAGCUCUUUCUCGAUUUGGUGGGUGGUGGUGCAUGGCCGUUCUUAGUUGGUGGAGUGAUUUGUCUGGUUAAUUCCGGUAACGAACGAGACUCUGGCCUACUAAAUAGUCGACGGGCGUUUUGGUGCAUGGGCCCCGUUCGACACAGUCUUCUUAGAGGGAUGAGCAGCGAGUAUAGCUGCAGGAGAUUGAGCAAUAACAGGUCUGUGAUGCCCUUAGAUGUCCUGGGCCGCACGCGCGCUACACUGAAUGGGUUAGCGGGUUGUCCUUCUCCGAGAGGAGCGGGAAAUCGCUUGAAAACCAUUCGUGAUAGGGAUUGGGGCUUGCAAUUGUUUCCCAUGAACGAGGAAUUCCCAGUAAGCGCAAGUCAUCAGCUUGCGUUGAUUAAGUCCCUGCCCUUUGUACACACCGCCCGUCGCUACUACCGAUUGAAUGAUUUAGUGAGGCCUUCGGACUGGCGGUCUUGGACUGGGGCGCCGGCGUUCCAGCAAUGGGCACCGGCGACCCGCCUAGACGGGCCGGAAAGAUGUCCAAACUUGAUCAUUUAGAGGAAGUAAAAGUCGUAACAAGGUUUCC
This 1250-nucleotide ribosomal RNA is filed under the name Harpilius lutescens. RNAcentral describes it as "SSU rRNA". It matches the Rfam family "Eukaryotic small subunit ribosomal RNA", at positions 607 to 1804 of the family's 1831-position model. The record is from RNAcentral. Lineage: Eukaryota; Metazoa; Arthropoda; Malacostraca; Decapoda; Palaemonidae.